This 453-nucleotide ribosomal RNA is filed under the name uncultured bacterium. RNAcentral describes it as "bacterial SSU rRNA". It matches the Rfam family "Bacterial small subunit ribosomal RNA", at positions 535 to 989 of the family's 1533-position model. The record is from RNAcentral.
CGAGCGUUAAUCGGAAUAACUGGGCGUAAAGGGCACGCAGGCGGUGACUUAAGUGAGAUGUGAAAGCCCCGAGCUUAACUUGGGAAUUGCAUUUCAUACUGGGUCGCUAGAGUACUUUAGGGAGGGGUAGAAUUCCACGUGUAGCGGUGAAAUGCGUAGAGAUGUGGAGGAAUACCGAAGGCGAAGGCAGCCCCUUGGGAAUGUACUGACGCUCAUGUGCGAAAGCGUGGGGAGCAAACAGGAUUAGAUACCCUGGUAGUCCACGCUGUAAACGAUGUCGAUUUGGGGAUUGGGCUUUAAGCUUGGUGCCCGUAGCUAACGUGAUAAAUCGACCGCCUGGGGAGUACGGCCGCAAGGUUAAAACUCAAAUGAAUUGACGGGGGCCCGCACAAGCGGUGGAGCAUGUGGUUUAAUUCGAUGCAACGCGAAGAACCUUACCUACUCUUGACAUCC